Molecule: long non-coding RNA, 4327 nt
Organism: Neofelis nebulosa (Clouded leopard)
Lineage: Eukaryota; Metazoa; Chordata; Mammalia; Carnivora; Felidae
Exons: 2
Source: RefSeq, a predicted model, not a curated record
AGGAGCGAGGCAAGAAGAUUAUUGCUGUCGUUGGCCCAGCACUGAGAUUUUUUUUUUAUGGCUUCAGGCCUCUGGAAUUUGUAGGCAAACGUUCCACUUUUGUCUCUGGCCAACCCAACUGCACAUUCCAUACUGACAAAGCCCGACUGGGAAUUGGGAACUUUUCCUCCGGCCACCUCCAUCUCCCUUGGCUCUUUCUCUGCCCGUCCUGCUCCUUCUCGUGAGCGCAGGCCUGCAACGCUAAGGGCGCGGGGUCGGCGGCACAACCGGGAGGGCGUCUGGCGACCGCAAGGAGUCCUGCGCGAGCCCACUCGGGGUCUGAAGAGGAUGUAGGAAGUCAUUUGUUUAGGUUCGUCCCCCACUCUGUCUGGGAUGGGAAGAAAAGAGGGAACCAAGCCAGAGAAAGGAUCUCAGAACCCCUUUGAGUGCAUUUAUAGACGGGAGUGAAAAAGACAAAAUAUAGUGCACAAAGCACUUAUAAGUUACUUUAAUCCAAUGAGAAGGAAAGGGAGGAGGGGAUAAGGGAGGGAGGAGGGAAGCCAGCCUUUGCUGCCCAGUCCCGCGUCUUGCACCGCGGAGGGUGCUCGGAGACCGGGACGGGAGACGGACUUUUGGUUCGGAUUCAGCGUUCGGUGCGACGCGUGCCUUUUGGCAAGUCAUUUCCCGCUCUGGGCUUUGCUUUUCCAUUCCUAGCCGGGCCAGGGGACGUGAUCUCUCAACUGCCAUCUAGACCGACGCAUCUAGAGCUGCAGAACCUUGCAGACAGACGGACGCCUGUCCCUGCACCGACCGGAUGUGCAGGGGCCUUUUCGACGAGAAUCUUCCACCGUAACAUCUCGCUCAGUUACCGCGGGACCCGGCAGAACACCGAGGGCCACUUAACGUGCAGAGCUCGCUUGGCCGUGAUGGGUUUCUUAUCGCUCAGAUUUCUCUACGGACCCGACGAAUUUUCAACAGAGGGUGCCCAUCCUGGAGCUGGCUGCUUUCGUAGUGUCCACCCCUCCUGGGCGACAGGGGCGCUGGACUCAGCUGCCCGCUCAGACACAUCUCCACUCUUGUCUGCCACUUCUGAGUCCCCGAGACUGCUCUUGGGGCAACACCUGCGGAAUGCGUCGCCAAGGUGAUCCCUGCACCAGCUGGGGAUUGGGCUAGGUGAUCUCUGAGAUAACCCCACAUCUUGAGAUCGGGAGACUUAAACCUUCUCCACAGUCGGAAGAGAGAGGCAGAAGCUCGCUCCUAGGAAACCGUGACCUUCAGACUAUUAAAAAUACGUACAUGGUUAGAUCUUAUUUCGUUUUAGGUUUUUGUAGCACGAGGUUAUGUGGCCCCUAGUUGGGAGGCCUCAGGAAACAGAAAAGCAGGCCAAAAGAAAAGGUGAAAAGAAGGGAAAAGGGAAGGAAGGGAGGAAGGUUGGGGCGGGGGGGGGAAGCAAGGAAGAAAGGAGGCAGAAAGAUGGACCUCUUGUAGAGGAGACGGGGAGGCUGGAGUGAGAAGGAAAGAGGCGAUGGGGAGGCGGGGGAAGAGAAAAGAAGAAACGAGGGGAAAAGACGAGGCCGAAGGGAAGAGAGAGGCAGGAAACCAGAGAGACUGGCUUCCUACUUGGGGACGCGUUUCCAGGCUACAGUCCCGCGCCCCCCACGCACGGACAUCUGCCCCGCCACGACUUCCUCUAAGCGAGCACUUCUGCAACCGUGGAGCCGAGCAGGCCGCCCUGGCUGGCUUUCAGCACACAGUCACUGCCGUUUCUGCAGGAUGCUGGAAAUGGAAUAAUUAGUACUUGUCCCCUUGCCAGGGCUGUGCCGGGAGAAAUCGGCUGCCUGAGAACACUGCUUGGCUGGUGGCUUGCCCACCUCUCGGAAGGCCCCGGGGCUCGUGUGUGCGUGUGAACUUGUCGGCCAGGGGGGCCGUGACCGUAGGAGGUGGAGGAUGGAAGGGGGCCGUGGAGGCACAGACGUCCCCUCGCUGGAAGGAGCCAGGGACCAAGCAGAGUAACGGAGUAUGAAGUGGAGACAAUUGAGGAGGAAGGUGUCAGAGCCCCGUGCAAAGUUCCUUCAGCAUCCACCCUUACCGAUUGGGCUAAAGUCGCUUAAUCCACCUCUCCUGACAUAAACGAAUCCCGAGCCUCGGCAUCCUGAAUCCGACUUCAUCCCUUCAUCCUGAGCGAGCCACUGCCCCAUCCGGAGCCUUGGUCUUCUCACCUGUGCAAUGGGGGCAGCCCUCGUAGAGCCUACGCGACAAUUGGGACCUGCAGGAGUGCUGGGUGCCGCGGGCUGCCCGACCCUCCACAGGUGCCCAGCAAAGGUUGGUUCUCAAGCUCUGCCAGCUUCUGACUCCAUUUCGAUGCCAUUCCAUUUCUUUCUUUAUAUAUCCGUUCAAUGACGCGAACCAACGCGAAUGUACUACUCGAAAGCAAUCCUUUCUUUUAACAGGGAAAGAAGAUCUUAUGUGACCGGUAUAUCCACGAGCAAGUAGCAAGAGGCAGCCACCGCAGCGGCCCCAUGAUGUCCAUUCAUUGGCCGAGAGGUUGAAGGUCACCAGAUAGCACGCAUUUCCUGCCGACCCUGACCCUCGGGUUACCUAGCUGGGGCACCAGCUGUGCCUCCUUUUCCCUCACCCCAAGCUUUUCUCAUCACACUCACCUUUGUCCCCGCACGCAUUGUCUCCCACAGCCUCCUCUGAGCACUUCGCCCCAUCAUGUUUGGCUCCAAUGAUUUGUUUUCUGAAUCCACGGCUUUUACUCUCUUCUGCACAGUUUUUUUUUUUUCCCCCUCUCCUGAAAGUUUGAAAAUUAUUUUUGUGUUCGUCUGUCUCCUGCCUUUUCUUCCCGAUUUUUCCAAGGCGAUUCAGCUGUUCGUACCAUCUGGUCAUAGUCUCAAGAAUUAGAAAAGGGUUUUUAGUGAUGAGAAAUUUUAUCCUGACUUGCUUCAGGUAGGCAGGCAGGCAGGAAUCGAGAUUGCGAGGGCAGGUGUCCCAAGCGUGGUGCUGUUGCGUGAAGCUCUUGGAGGCUUAACAGACUCAGCCACCCAGGAGCCCCGAGGAGAUCGGAUUUCUAACGUUACCUCUGCCACCAUCUCCCAGUGCGACCUUAGAACAAUCACAUCAUCCUAGAAAGCAAAUCAUAUUAUUUCAGUUUUGUAGAUGUAAGUGCUGAGGCACCAGCGGCAUUUUUUCUCCAUAGCACAUUCCUGUCAUAUAGACCAGCAGGUAUUCAAAUGCAGCCUUCUUAGUCCCCAAACCAAGAGCUGAGUUUAGAUUUGGAAGCAGGACUAUUUAUGUAUCUGUGUCUUGAACUCCUUGCCGGCGCUGGUUUGACUCCUUUGGGCCACACUGCCUGCUCCUCUCCGCCUGUACCCCACCCCCGGGGAGAGAGGAAGCUGGCGUAUCUUUUCCAUUCGUGGCCUCCGCUCUUAGGAGCUCAGCUAGCCUCUCGUACACUAGGAGGAAUACCUUCGGUCAUACAGAGAAAUUCUGACCUCCUGAGGCUGUCUGGACCCCUUUGGUCUCAGGAAACUUUUGUUCUCCUUCCGAGCUCUUAGCCUUUUUUUUUUCCUCCCCGGCCCUCCUUCUUCAUCAAAGUCUAUUGUUUGAACUGAUGGCUUAGAGCCAGGUGUUAGAAAGGAAGCGCAGUGAUGACACAAAUUUGCACUCAAGUGUCGUUGAAUAAAAGCCUCCGUUACAUUUCUUAGGGAGUUUGUAUUUUUACAAAGGAGCAGAAAUCAACCUCACCGACAAUCUGGUCAAUUCCGGGUUCUUCAGAUGGUGUGAAAAGUGCCAUGGAAAAGCCAGGAGAGGCGGGCCGGUUUUGAGUGACGUAUGACCCGAAGACAGGUAGAUACCCAGCUUAAAACCAGCCCCAGGGACAUCCACGGGGCUCAGACGUUUCUGAGCCUGGGCCCCGUUCGUUGGUUGCAAACCUGCUUCUUGAGAGCCCUUAAUUAUACAAUGUGAGUAUCUUUAGCCCUGGACGAAUACUGCUCAAUAUGUAUUGUAUCAAGUUGCUCUAGAUGAGUUUUUGCAUUCUUUGGGGGUGGUAAAUCCAAAAGCAGUGCUGGGAGGCUGAACAUGAAAAACAGGAGGAUUUAAUUAGGAAGAAAGCCUCAGCGUCACCCCCUGGGACCACACUGCUUCAUUCCUGCACGAGAUUCCAUCUUUGAAAUGUCUUCUAUACAGAACUCCCCUCCACCCCCCCUUGAAACCUCACAGCUGUGAUACAGAGGGACUCUUGAGGGCGGCAAGACAAGAGAGAAUUUCUUCCCUUCCCUCAUGGCCGUAUUUAACAGCCAGUUCCCAAAUGGUAUUAAUAAACAUUGGAACUUCAAAAACCGAA